AACGCAUAUUGCGCUCUUUGGUAUUCCGAAGAGCAUGCUUGUUUGAGUAUCAGAGAACCUAUCUCAGACCCUAUUUCUUGUCUUUUCGGAGACGAGGAGGGACUGAGGAACUGAGUACUCCCGUAGAUAAUUUUGUCCGCCUCUCCAGGCUGUGGCGAUGUCAUCUCCGGGUUGCUUGAAAUGUAGGUGCAGCAAUCUUCUAUUGGGUUCGUAUUCCCUCUGGCCUGAAAGCAUAUCUAUUUAGUCCCGUCAAAAGGAUUAUUGCUCUUUGCUGAAGUGUCGAAGGGGAGCCUAGAGGAGAGCUUGCCUCGAAUACAGGAAUUCUCUAAUUUUUUAUAAACUCGAUCUCAAAUCAAGUAAGACUACCCGCUGAACUUAA
RNAcentral lists this unclassified non-coding RNA (379 nucleotides) under uncultured fungus. RNAcentral's name for it is "sequence contains ITS2". Lineage: Eukaryota; Fungi. The record is from RNAcentral.